GUCCUGUCUCAAGAUGCUCCAUGGAGUCAUCGAGCCGGUAUACACACAAUUUAUUAUACCGUCCUAUCUCCAAAUGCUCCGUAGAGUCAUCGAGCCGGUAUACACACAAUUUAUCAUACCGUCUUGUCUCCAGAUGCUCCGUAGAGUCAUCGAGCCAGUAUACACACAAUUUAUCAUACCAUCCUGUCUCCAGAUGCUCCGUAGAGUCAUCGAGCCGGUAGAUCAUAUCAUUCCAAGCAAAUAAUCAAAUAACCAGUUUUAUCAUUCCCGAUAAAAUGCCAUGAGUGGAUACUCGAUUGGCCUUAGCCAAAACAUAAUAAUUUCCUUUUUAUAAAUUCCACCAUUUUCUGUAGCCCACUCAGAUCCUUUUGGCAUUAUCAACCGAAGCCUAGUUCUUUUUCAAUUAAUAACCAAAGAUUAUUCAAUUAAAGAAUAAUUCAUUCUUUCAAAAAUAAUUCAAUUCAGCAUGAAAUAGGGCUCAAUUAAAUAAACGGAC
Molecule: long non-coding RNA, 496 nt
Filed under: Eucalyptus grandis
Lineage: Eukaryota; Viridiplantae; Streptophyta; Magnoliopsida; Myrtales; Myrtaceae
Description: long non-coding RNA (EGRA_LNC007268)
Source: RNAcentral